Non-coding RNA from Sinocyclocheilus anshuiensis, 397 nucleotides. The record is from the annotation of a RefSeq genome assembly. NCBI's taxonomy places the organism in Eukaryota, Metazoa, Chordata, Actinopteri, Cypriniformes, Cyprinidae.
UAUAAUGGAUCUUCAUCCAGUUAUUCUGCUCUGUGUCUCAGCUGCUGCUGUCUUUGGAAAUGUCAUCAAACCAGACCAACCAGAAGUUUUUGCUGAGGAGGCUUCAGAUAUUACAUUGUCCUGUAAUUUUUCUGACUCUGGAACUACAGAUAAUCUCCACUGGUACCGUCAGUAUGGAAGAUCAAAACCUGAAUUUCUUGUACUCACCUACAGCAGUGCAAAGGAAGCUCAGCGGUCUGAUGUAGAUCCAAGAUUCACUGUUAAAGUUGAAAAAAGGGAACAUGUGGAUCUGAAGAUCUCCUCUGCUGCUGUAUCAGACUCUGCUCUGUACUACUGUGCUCUGCAGCCCACAGUGACAGGAAACACAUCAGCUCUCUACAAAAACCUGUUACAAUGA